AAGUCGUAACAAGGUUUCCGUAGGUGAACCUGCGGAAGGAUCAUUAACACAAGUCCCAAAAACAAACCCAAACCCCUUUUAUAAAAACAAAAAAAUAACCUAACCUUUUAACCCCUAACACCAUAACUAAUUGACUAAUUUAGAUUGUACCUCAAAAUAAGCGAUUGUUUCACCGACAUUGUUUACUCAAAUACGGCUUGAAUCAAAUGUGACAUUUUGAGUCCAAUCGACCAAUUCAUUCAUUUGAAUUGUAAAUAAAAUAAUUACAACUCUUAACAAUGGAUAUCUUGGUUCUC
This 296-nucleotide unclassified non-coding RNA is filed under the name Phylloporus sp. Its description in RNAcentral is "partial contains small subunit ribosomal RNA, internal transcribed spacer 1, and 5.8S ribosomal RNA". The stretch from base 1 to 46 matches the Rfam family "Eukaryotic small subunit ribosomal RNA", at positions 1786 to 1831 of the family's 1831-position model. Lineage: Eukaryota; Fungi; Basidiomycota; Agaricomycetes; Boletales; Boletaceae. The record is from RNAcentral.